UACGAAGGGGGCUAGCGUUGCUCGGAAUCACUGGGCGUAAAGCGCACGUAGGCGGCUUGCUAAGUCAGGGGUGAAAUCCUGGAGCUCAACUCCAGAACUGCCUUUGAUACUGGCGACCUUGAGUCCGGGAGAGGUGAGUGGAACUGCGAGUGUAGAGGUGAAAUUCGUAGAUAUUCGCAAGAACACCAGUGGCGAAGGCGGCUCACUGGCCCGGUACUGACGCUGAGGUGCGAAAGCGUGGGGAGCGAACAGG
RNAcentral lists this ribosomal RNA (253 nucleotides) under uncultured bacterium. Its description in RNAcentral is "partial 16S ribosomal RNA". It matches the Rfam family "Bacterial small subunit ribosomal RNA", at positions 524 to 776 of the family's 1533-position model. The record is from RNAcentral.